RNAcentral lists this long non-coding RNA (4304 nucleotides) under Canis lupus familiaris (dog). Its description in RNAcentral is "lncRNA (ENSCAFG00000052627.1)". Lineage: Eukaryota; Metazoa; Chordata; Mammalia; Carnivora; Canidae. The record is from RNAcentral.
UUUUUCUUUGGCACCAUUUUAAGGAAGCAUUGAGGGAGACGGAAUGUGAAGAUGUAUCUUUACUUGUGUAGGAAGAAUAUUUUUACAGUUUUGAACCAUGAAUAUCAUAAAGAUACGGCUCUAAUUAGUAAUGCUGGGUGCUGUGGCACAUUCAAUCAGGCUCAUAGCAUAUUCAUUUUGAUAGAUCUUGUUUAACUGAAGAAAAGCAAGGUUCAUAUUGUUGCAGCCUUUUAGUUUUGAUCAAAAUAUCAAAGGUAUUUCAGCCUCAACUAGUUAUCUUAAUUGAUAUGAUGCACAGCAGAAUAUAUUGAUCCACAUGACUAGGUCUCAGAUCAAUUGUCCUUUUGAAAAUAAUAUUUACAUUUAGAAAGGACCUCAGAAACUCAUUGAAUCCAAAGGUUAAAAUUAAUUUCUCCUUAACAACAGUGAUUAGCUGGGUUCCUUAUACCUUGGAUAAUUUUAAAUUAAUCCAAAAUCUCCGAGAAGCUUUGUAAUGUUGUUCCUCAAAGCACAUCAGAGAGGCGAGUAGGUGCGGAAGAUGGUGCGGCCCAUUAUUUUAGCACAUUAGCAGAUGGAGAGAACAGAGUCACAAGCCAGUUGGGUGAUUUGGCCAAAACCACAGUAUCUACAGCGAUUACUGCAAUCCCAGAAUAGAGUUCUCAACUCCUACCUCCCAUCUGUUCUUUCAAGUGACUUCGGGAGCCAAUUAUCUGUUCUUUUGUAAGAAGAGUCUAUUGAUUCCAUUAGUAGGGAUGGAGCUGGCCCCGGGAAAGUUUGCUUAGACUUCCCCACUCCUGCACUUCUUGCUCCUACUGCAUCCCACCUUCCUUACCCACUCUCUUUGCCUCCAACCACAACAUUCUCAUCAGCUAGUCAAGCCUUCUGCUGUGAUGCUCCAGGGGAGGGGUAUGUGUACUCAGGUGGUAAAAGGAGCUCCUCCACAAGGGAAACAUUUGUUAACCAUUUUCUCUGUUGCAAACACAGCUCUGGGUAGUUUGUACCAUCCUCUCCUCCCAGCCUCAUUAGCGCUUAUUAGGAGGGGACCGUAUUUAAUCACGUACAUGAGAGAUGCUAUAUAAACAAAUUAAAGAUGGUGGUACUGGUGGUGGUAAGGCAGAAGGUUUACUGAACCUGAAAAAAAAAAAAAAACACACACACACACACACACACACAACUAGUUCCUGGCUUUGGUUGUUGCCACUAAACCUGUGUGACUUUGGUUAAUGCAUUUUCUUUUUUCUCACUCUGGACUUAAUUCUCUCACCAAGAAUACAGACAGGAGCACUAGACUAGAUGAACCCUCAGACUGUACUGACUCUAGAAUUAUAGGAGAAUGUGAUUGAACUUGUUCGGUCAGUGUGAGGGAGAUCACGUUUGCAAGAAGGCUGCUUUUCAAUUUUGGUUUCAUUUCAGCCAGUGUUCUCAACCCUGCCCAUAAAUCACAGUAACCCCCAAUCCUCAGGGCAUUUGAAAUUUCUCAUAUGAAGUCUGCUCAUUUGGGGGGGGGGUCCUCUGGGGCAUCUAUCCCUGUGUUUUUAAAGGGAACCGCGGGUGUUUCUGAUGGGUGGUUCUAGAUAGGUAGUUGUAGUGAGGAGUCACUGCUUUUAUCAAGGAAUUCCAGAAAAACCAGGGAAGAUACUUGGCAGAGACUCGAGGAUCUCAUGAGACUCGGCCACUCACGCCAUCUAUCUGGUCUCUCUGUGAGUCUAGACCCACCCAUGAGGCAGGCUGCCGGGCUAGGGAGAGUUUGGGAAAGCUGGAAAGGUAUUGAUUGUAAGACCCAAGUCGAAAGCUGUCUGAGAGGUCAGGUCUCAUUUGCUUUUAUCUCAUGCUGGUAUUUUCCCCUGCUGCCAAUUCAAGCCGGAUAGAGUUUUAAAUCUUCCCUUAAAGAACACCCAUUAAAGAUGAUGAAAUAGUCUGGCUUUCAGAUCCAUUCAGCCCCUCAAGCUUUAAGAUGACAUAACAGAGGCAUCAGCACUGUCUAAUUUUGUCUUUGGAGCUAAUUAAGUAUCCUGUGGGAUGCACUGAGUCCAGGAUGUUAUUUUGUGGAGAGUAAUGGACAGUCACUAAGGAUGAAUGAUUUUAGGUCCCCAGGCCAGUAUUAAUCUGGUUGUCUCAAGGUAAACACAUACGGUGUUCAAAAAUGCUCUUUCAUUUACCUCAAACAGCUAUGUUAAUCUGAAAAAAAUAUCCCCAAACCAAGUAUCUUUUGGGUAAUUUCAUGGACUUCCAGGAUGUAACUAAGCUUAUAAGAAACGCUUUUCCUUUUUCAAGUGAAAUUUGAUCUUUCCUUUAUCGCUGUCCAAGAAAACGGAGUCUUGUGUCGCUUUGAAAUGCCUGGCCUCUUACUCUCAACGAUCUGGGACAAGCAGUCGUCCCUAAUUGAAGAGGAGUCGUCACUAGUUUUAAAGCAUUCCAGCUUUUUUCACCUCUUGCCUGGUGUCUCACAUCCGAAGAAGAAAAUUUACCUAAUGGUCUUAUUCUGCAAUUAACGGAGAAGCAAUUAUUAAUCCCACCCUGUUUCUUCACAAUGUUUUCCUUUUGAUACCUUUCAUGUUUCGGGGGCUUCGAUUCAGGACGAAUGGAAAACACCUGCUGCUUUUCAGAACGGGAUCCCACCUGUGCUGGGCUUCCAGAGCUAUCAAAGAGUAAGCCUGUAAUUUCAAUACUUGUAGUUUGAACCUACGAGUUACAAAUGGAAGUCACAAUUCCUGUGGCAGGCGUUUUGUUAGGCUGUCAGGUAGCUCAUUUUGCUGCUGUUUCCUAUUUUUAACAUUCCCUUUACAUAAAUAAAAUGUAACACUGUGAAAAAUGAAACACCUGAACAAAACACACGAUGAGGUGCACCAGAGAGCACUCGCAGCAUUAGUCAUUUCAAGCAGUGGGUUGACGCAUGAUCUUCGCUGAAUAUUUCAGUGUUAGAAGCAUUACUAAGGUUAUAAACUGAGUAAGGAAAUAAAAUUGCUCUUGGUCAAGGAUCACCUUUUAGCAUUAAAUAGCUUUUGAAUAUUUAUGGGGAGCAUGUAAUACCAUACUGGUGUUUAAAGAUGAUCUCAGUAAUUUUUCUUUGGUUUCUCCUUUGAUUAGAACUGUGGGAUUUGAGGGUGGCUGGCUGGCUCAGUCGGUAGAGCAUGCAACUCUUGAUAGAGGGGUCACGAGUUCAAGCCCCACGCUGAGCAUAGAGCUUACUUAAAAAACAAAAAAACAAACACGGAAUUUCAGGUCUAGAAAGAACUUUGGAAUAAGGUUCGGAUAGCCAUCCCCUAGUUUACACAGUUGAUUCUUAACAGACCCCCCUCUAAAACCUUGAUCUGUUUUCUUCUGGUCUUGACAUCCUUCUACGAAGCUGUGUGUCUCCAGAUACCUGAAGAACCAGACUUUUCUAGUCAGUCUCAUAGUUAACCCAUCCCAAUUUUAUCAAAUAAAUUCUUAUUUGAGUGUUCUAAUUUUACUCUAGUGAAUUCAGAAAGCUUCAAGGUACAGCUCAAAAAGGACUCAAUAGAAUUUACCUCACAAAAUCUCAGUUGAUUGGAACAUGUUAUAGGGAACCAAGUUUGUGGAUUUGAACGCCACAAAAUGCUGGCUAAUUUUCUCUUGUGUGACCAUAACAGAUCCCUCUAACUUGUGAAAACAUGUGCCCUCAGCCCGGAGAGUGACCCUGGUGGCUGCUUCUGCUCAAUUUAUCAUCAGUAAAUCACGUCCAAUCCAAAGCUCAUUCUCAACUCACCAUGGGUCAGUCGCACAGUGGUGAACAUUCAUGCUCAAGAAAAAUUGCCUGUAGUUUCAGGACUGGGACUAAAACUUAGAACUUUUAUUCUCUGUCCAGUGGAUUUUCCAUCACAGUCUAACUCCUUCCAAGGACUCCUAAAGUAGUGAAACUAGCCAAGUCCCCUCAGUCACAUUUCUCUCAAACACAGAUACCUCAGGGCCGCAGAUCUAUCAUUGGUUGUGCCUUCACUUACAGAACCCAGCACCACCAGUGGAUGCACAAAGCCCCUUUAUUUACCUCUGAAACCAAGGCCCUGUCUGCUUAGCUUAAAAGGGAGACAAGGGUUGGGACAAAGAGGAAUGGGAGGGGAACGGGAAGUAGCACUGAGCACAACAAAACACCAGUGCUCUCCAGCUCUGAGUCACAUGCUGGGUUGUAAAAUGACUUAUAGCCCUGAAAAUGUUGGCGGAACACUCAGCAUAGAUCAUGCAUUUCAGGCACAUGAUACAAAUGCUUUUUGGCUCAUGAUUAUAGGCUAGCAAUUUCCAAGGCGCUAGAGCUGUUCCAAAUAAUUCGUUGUAUUCACUUUCUGUAC